ACCAGCACGUUAUGGUGGGCGACUCUAAGGAGACUGCGGUGACAAACCGGAGGAAGGUGGGGAGUGACGUCAGGUCAUCAUGGCCCUUACGGCCAGGGCUACACACGUGCUACAAUGGUCGGUACAGAGGGUUGCCAAGCCGCGAGGUGGAGCUAAUCUACACAAAACCGAUCGUAGUCCGGAUCGCAGUCUGCAACUCGACUGCGUGAAGUCGGAAUCGCUAGUAAUCGUGAAUCAGAAUGUCACGGUGAAUACGUUCCCGGGCCUU
RNAcentral lists this ribosomal RNA (268 nucleotides) under uncultured Pseudomonas sp. RNAcentral's name for it is "partial 16S ribosomal RNA". It matches the Rfam family "Bacterial small subunit ribosomal RNA", at positions 1117 to 1382 of the family's 1533-position model. The record is from RNAcentral. Lineage: Bacteria; Pseudomonadati; Pseudomonadota; Gammaproteobacteria; Pseudomonadales; Pseudomonadaceae.